RNAcentral lists this ribosomal RNA (497 nucleotides) under uncultured bacterium. RNAcentral describes it as "partial 16S ribosomal RNA". It matches the Rfam family "Bacterial small subunit ribosomal RNA", at positions 28 to 507 of the family's 1533-position model. The record is from RNAcentral.
GACGAACGCUGGCGGCGUGCCUAAUACAUGCAAGUUGAGCGCUGAAGGUUGGUACUUGUACCAACUGGAUGAGCAGCGAACGGGUGAGUAACGCGUGGGGAAUCUGCCUUUGAGCGGGGGACAACAUUUGGAAACGAAUGCUAAUACCGCAUAAAAACUUUAAACACAAGUUUUAAGUUUGAAAGAUGCAAUUGCAUCACUCAAAGAUGAUCCCGCGUUGUAUUAGCUAGUUGGUGAGGUAAAGGCUCACCAAGGCGAUGAUACAUAGCCGGCCUGAGAGGGUGAUCGGCCACAUUGGGACUGAGACACGGCCCAAACUCCUACGGGAGGCAGCAGUAGGGAAUCUUCGUCAAUGGACGAAAGUCUGACCGAGCAACGCCGCGUGAGUGAAGAAGGUUUUCGGAUCGUAAAACUCUGUUGGUAGAGAAGAACGUUGGUGAGAGUGGAAAGCUCAUCAAGUGACGGUAACUACCCAGAAAGGGACGGCUAACUACGUG